AGGCUUAACACAUGCAAGUCGAGGGGCAGCAUGGUCUUAGCUUGCUAAGGCCGAUGGCGACCGGCGCACGGGUGAGUAACACGUAUCCAACCUGCCGUCUACUCUUGGACAGCCUUCUGAAAGGAAGAUUAAUACAAGAUGGCAUCAUGAGUCCGCAUGUUCACAUGAUUAAAGGUAUUCCGGUAGACGAUGGGGAUGCGUUCCAUUAGAUAGUAGGCGGGGUAACGGCCCACCUAGUCUUCGAUGGAUAGGGGUUCUGAGAGGAAGGUCCCCCACAUUGGAACUGAGACACGGUCCAAACUCCUACGGGAGGCAGCAGUGAGGAAUAUUGGUCAAUGGGCGAGAGCCUGAACCAGCCAAGUAGCGUGAAGGAUGACUGCCCUAUGGGUUGUAAACUUCUUUUAUAAAGGAAUAAAGUCGGGUAUGUAUACCCGUUUGCAUGUACUUUAUGAAUAAGGAUCGGCUAACUCCGUGCCAGCAGCCGCGGUAAUACGGAGGAUCCGAGCGUUAUCCGGAUUUAUUGGGUUUAAAGGGAGCGUAGAUGGAUGUUUAAGUCAGUUGUGAAAGUUUGCGGCUCAACCGUAAAAUUGCAGUUGAUACUGGAUAUCUUGAGUGCAGUUGAGGCAGGCGGAAUUCGUGGUGUAGCGGUGAAAUGCUUAGAUAUCACGAAGAACUCCGAUUGCGAAGGCAGCCUGCUAAGCUGCAACUGACAUUGAGGCUCGAAAGUGUGGGUAUC
RNAcentral lists this ribosomal RNA (736 nucleotides) under uncultured Bacteroidales bacterium. RNAcentral's name for it is "bacterial SSU rRNA". It matches the Rfam family "Bacterial small subunit ribosomal RNA", at positions 44 to 769 of the family's 1533-position model. Lineage: Bacteria; Pseudomonadati; Bacteroidota; Bacteroidia; Bacteroidales. The record is from RNAcentral.